AGUACAAGAGAGAUUCAAGGAAAAGAUGGAAUUUUAACAGUUCACCAAAGAGAGCCUGUAACUUAUAUAGGAGAGUUGAGUAGGAAUUUUAGGUUUGGAACCAAGAACCUUCACUCAUUCCCUUACUUGGUCAUUUCAUUAAGACUGAGUGUUUACCACUUCCUGGGCUCUGUGCUAAGUACUUGAGAUACGGAUAUAAGGAGUCUUUUAAGGAGCUUCCGGUCUGUGGGGGAGACAUGCAGAUACAAUAAAAUGCCACCAGUGCUAUAGCAAAACUCGCAUAAGGUAUUGUGGGAGCACAGAAGGGGAGCUGUUAACCUAGAACCAACAGGAGCAAUCUUGGAUAACUUCUUGAAGCAGGUGGCACUUCAGUAAUUUUUUAAGAAUAAAGAGGAAUUAGACAAAUGAAGGGAGACAGAAAGGACAAGAUAGACUGGAGAGGCCACAUAGACAAAGGCCGAUGGCAGGAUAAAUGUUAAGUGUUUGAGGAAAUGCAAGUAAUUUGGGGUGUAUUAGACCAGUGAGGUAGGUAGGAAAAAAACAAGACCCAUGAACAACCUUUAGCAUUAAAAAUUUAAUUUUAUCCUGAAGACAGUAAGGAAUGGUCAACAGGAAGUAACAUGAUCAGAUUUGCAGCAGUGUAAAAAUAGAUUGGAGACAACUGUUGGUUAAACACAGUGCAUUAUAUAUGUGAUUAUCUUUGUUCUCUCCAAAAACCCAUGGAAAUGAUAAUAACAUAAAUAAAAAGGCAUUGCUCUACAAGUACAGUCAGAAUGGAACAAUAGCGGGCAGAUGAGAGAUGUCAACUCAGUUCUACAAAAUGUCAAGUGGAUGGAAGGGUGAUACCUCAUCAGUGAACUAGAGACAGUGGGAUCCCUGCUUCUGCAGGAUGGGAGAGGUGAGACACCAACUAGAAGCAAGCUGAUUCACAUUGAGAAACCUUGAAAGGUUCAGAAAUCAAGGUGGCAGGUAUCCAUAAACGUACAGACUCGGGGAAGGGCUGAGAACAGAAGAAUAAGUUGUUUAUUAGGAACAAUUACAUAAACUUCUAGAUAUGCUCUUUUCCUGUACCACACAGUCAGGAAACUGGCCUGUACCCCAAACCUAGCAUAACUCUGAAGGCACAUUUUCUGAGUUGAACUAGAAACAUUCUGACUCAGGCAUCAGCCGAGGUGAAGGUGCUGGAUGAGGCAUCACAUUACAAUGGUGGAAGUAAGUGAAACUCUAUAUACUGAAUGGUGAGACCCUUGCCUGGCACCCAGAAAUGAAAGCCAGACCUGUUCUGUAAGUGGGAAGUUGGAGGAGUGGAAGAGUCCUUUUGGGAGAAACCGAUCUGCUCAAAACAAAAGGCCUACAUAAUGUUGACAUUGGAGGUCCCCUGAGAGAUUGCUAGAUUCCUGCCUGCCCACUCUGCAGUGAAACCCUGAAGGAAACAGUCUUAUCCUUUACAGAAACAGAGCUUUCGGUCAGCAUUUUAGCUCCUCACUCAAACAUGAAAAAAUGACAAGGGAUCAUUAGACACUUGAAAGGGAAUGGCAGAAACCAAAGUGAAAAAGCAGGACAAAAA
RNAcentral lists this long non-coding RNA (1567 nucleotides) under Macaca fascicularis (crab-eating macaque). Its description in RNAcentral is "lncRNA (ENSMFAG00000055265.1)". Lineage: Eukaryota; Metazoa; Chordata; Mammalia; Primates; Cercopithecidae. The record is from RNAcentral.